UGGGGCCUUACUUUCUCAAAGGUUUGGGUUUAUUCCCCUCUAGAUGUUGAGUUGCAACCUUACACAUGAGUUUCUACGUGGGUCAAUGCUUAGGGUCCUCAAUCCUAUAGGCGACACACCUUCGCGAGUAGUGGUACAUGUGGUUCUUACUCUCUCAGAGGUAAUUGAAACAAAGAUUUAAAUUAGGUUUCUGAAAUUCUCAAUGGUCUUAAA
This 213-nucleotide long non-coding RNA is filed under the name Medicago truncatula (barrel medic). RNAcentral's name for it is "lncRNA gene23196". The record is from RNAcentral. Lineage: Eukaryota; Viridiplantae; Streptophyta; Magnoliopsida; Fabales; Fabaceae.